AGUGAACGCUGGCGGUAGGCCUAACACAUGCAAGUCGAACGGCAGCACAGUAAGAGCUUGCUCUUACGGGUGGCGAGUGGCGGACGGGUGAGGAAUACAUCGGAAUCUACUUUUUCGUGGGGGAUAACGUAGGGAAACUUACGCUAAUACCGCAUACGACCUACGGGUGAAAGCAGGGGUUCUUCGGACCUUGCGCGAUUGAAUGAGCCGAUGUCGGAUUAGCUAGUUGGCGGGGUAAAGGCCCACCAAGGCGACGAUCCGUAGCUGGUCUGAGAGGAUGAUCAGCCACACUGGAACUGAGACACGGUCCAGACUCCUACGGGAGGCAGCAGUGGGGAAUAUUGGACAAUGGGCGCAAGCCUGAUCCAGCCAUACCGCGUGGGUGAAGAAGGCCUUCGGGUUGUAAAGCCCUUUUGUUGGGAAAGAAAAGCAGCAGGUUAAUACCCCGCUGUUCUGACGGUGCCCAAAGAAUAAGCACCGGCUAACUUCGUG
This 492-nucleotide ribosomal RNA is filed under the name uncultured bacterium. RNAcentral's name for it is "partial 16S ribosomal RNA". It matches the Rfam family "Bacterial small subunit ribosomal RNA", at positions 29 to 507 of the family's 1533-position model. The record is from RNAcentral.